This 942-nucleotide ribosomal RNA is filed under the name Enterobacter cloacae. RNAcentral describes it as "bacterial SSU rRNA". It matches the Rfam family "Bacterial small subunit ribosomal RNA", at positions 544 to 1483 of the family's 1533-position model. Lineage: Bacteria; Pseudomonadati; Pseudomonadota; Gammaproteobacteria; Enterobacterales; Enterobacteriaceae. The record is from RNAcentral.
AUCGGAAUUACUGGGCGUAAAGCGCACGCAGGCGGUCUGUCAAGUCGGAUGUGAAAUCCCCGGGCUCAACCUGGGAACUGCAUUCGAAACUGGCAGGCUGGAGUCUUGUAGAGGGGGGUAGAAUUCCAGGUGUAGCGGUGAAAUGCGUAGAGAUCUGGAGGAAUACCGGUGGCGAAGGCGGCCCCCUGGACAAAGACUGACGCUCAGGUGCGAAAGCGUGGGGAGCAAACAGGAUUAGAUACCCUGGUAGUCCACGCCGUAAACGAUGUCGAUUUUGGGAGGUUGUGCCCUUGAGGCGUGGCUUCCGGAGGCUAACGCGUUAAAUCGACCGCCUGGGGAGUACGGCCGCAAGGUUAAAACUCAAAUGAAUUGACGGGGGCCCGCACAAGCGGUGGAGCAUGUGGUUUAAUUCGAUGCAACGCGAAGAACCUUACCUGGUCUUGACAUCCACAGAACUUUCCAGAGAUGGAUUGGUGCCUUCGGGAACUGUGAGACAGGUGCUGCAUGGCUGUCGUCAGCUCGUGUUGUGAAAUGUUGGGUUAAGUCCCGCAACGAGCGCAACCCUUAUCCUUUGUUGCCAGCGGUCCGGCCGGGAACUCAAAGGAGACUGCCAGUGAUAAACUGGAGGAAGGUGGGGAUGACGUCAAGUCAUCAUGGCCCUUACGACCAGGGCUACACACGUGCUACAAUGGCGCAUACAAAGAGAAGCGACCUCGCGAGAGCAAGCGGACCUCAUAAAGUGCGUCGUAGUCCGGAUUGGAGUCUGCAACUCGACUCCAUGAAGUCGGAAUCGCUAGUAAUCGUAGAUCAGAAUGCUACGGUGAAUACGUUCCCGGGCCUUGUACACACCGCCCGUCACACCAUGGGAGUGGGUUGCAAAAGAAGUAGGUAGCUUAACCUUCGGGAGGGCGCUUACCACUUUGUGAUUCAUGACUGGGGUGA